RNAcentral lists this unclassified non-coding RNA (343 nucleotides) under Zea mays. Its description in RNAcentral is "misc RNA Zm00001eb429150". Lineage: Eukaryota; Viridiplantae; Streptophyta; Magnoliopsida; Poales; Poaceae. The record is from RNAcentral.
AACAAGAUUAAGAAGAAGAAUAGAGACUUGAAGCCUCAUGCCUCCAAGAGUGAAGAUCGUCUUCAUCCUUCAUACCUACCUCAUUAACCACCUCCCACAGGAGGAGGUAUUGCUAAACUUUUCAUCUGAAAAGAUGGACGCUUCACGUCCUGGCGUCUGUCCGCCUCCUGGCGACUCACCUUCUCUUCCCGGCGCCUCCUCUUCCUUCAUCCUCACGCCGGCGUCUGCUCCGGGCCCGGCGGCCACCAUCAGCACCCCUACAGACCUCUUUUCCUCUCCGGCGCCGGUUUUCUCCCAGUCUUCCCCCACCCAGUCCGCGCGGGCCUCGUGUGGUCGUUCGCGC